This is a non-coding RNA of Oryza brachyantha (malo sina), 80 nucleotides long. Lineage: Eukaryota; Viridiplantae; Streptophyta; Magnoliopsida; Poales; Poaceae. The record is from Rfam.
GGCUCAUUGAUUGUUGCUAAUCAGAUUUAGUCAUAUACGCUAUUCUGAUUUUUAUUGGUGAAAAAGAAUUUAUGAGAGCU